AGUGAACGCUGGCGGUAGGCCUAACACAUGCGAGUCGAACGGCAGCACAGUAAGAGCUUGCUCUUACGGGUGGCGAGUGGCGGACGGGUGAGGAAUACAUCGGAAUCUACUUUUUCGUGGGGGAUAACGUAGGGAAACUUACGCUAAUACCGCAUACGCCCUACGGGUGAAAGCAGGGGAUCUUCGGACCUUGCGCGAUUGAAUGAGCCGAUGUCGGAUUAGCUAGUUGGCGGGGUAAAGGCCCACCAAGGCGACGAUCCGUAGCUGGUCUGAGAGGAUGAUCAGCCACACUGGAACUGAGACACGGUCCAGACUCCUACGGGAGGCAGCAGUGGGGAAUAUUGGACAAUGGGCGCAAGCCUGAUCCAGCCAUACCGCGUGGGUGAAGAAGGCCUUCGGGUUGUAAAGCCCUUUUGUUGGGAAAGAAAAGCAGCAGGUUAAUACCCCGCUGUUCUGACGGUACCCAAAGAAUAAGCACCGGCUAACUUCGUG
RNAcentral lists this ribosomal RNA (492 nucleotides) under uncultured bacterium. Its description in RNAcentral is "partial 16S ribosomal RNA". It matches the Rfam family "Bacterial small subunit ribosomal RNA", at positions 29 to 507 of the family's 1533-position model. The record is from RNAcentral.